GCCAUCUCACCUGGCAUGCGGCGAAAAAAUGUAUUACAUGUUGAAAACAAUUUAUCGCGGUGCAAACUGAGCCCAGGGCGCAUACAAGAUUACUCUCGAAAUUACUUGCUAAUCAUGCUGUGUUCCCGACACCAUAUCUCGUUCCAUCAAGUGAUGCAGCAGCUCAAGAUACACAAGGAUGUUGUUUCUCCGUGGGCUUGUCUAUUUGCGGUCUUGAAGCUUCAUCAGGCACUGUGGGUAGUCUGGGUACAAACAACAUCAGCUAGGUAGUUGAAGGAACCAAUCUGGCAUGCACGCCUACUUAUGUGCUAUAGAAGAUGAGUCCAUGAUGUUGCAUUGAUUUGUCCAUGAACUGCAAAAUGGGUACAAGAAAUGAAGGAGCUCAGUACUUGGCGAACAAGUAGGCCGAUAACAAUCAGAAUUCAGAACAUCCAACCACGUAUAUCUAAGCAUUCCAAUAAGGAGUAACUAAUGGAACUUAUCAUGCUUUGCUUGAAAGUAUACACUAAAAGUAACUUCUGAGAUGCUUCACUCAGCUGAUCAGCUACAAGAAACCAAAAGUACUACACAGCAACCUCUAAUAUUUUCAUUUUUAGGGGAGUAACAUCUAAACACUAGGAAGUGCAUAAACCAGAAAAAUUUGUCAGCCACAAGUGUUUUUGUGUUCCCCUACAUACACACAACAAUCAUCAUCUUCCAUAUACAUCGACUUCAUUUUUCUGACAACAUGAACUUUGUUGUUGUCGCUGUAUAUGAACUUCUCAUGUAAACAAAGAGAGAGAAUGCACCGAGCCAAGGUAGAAUCUUACAAAGAAAACACACUUUUUUGUUUGAGGCAUAUACACAAACAGCUUGUGUGCACUGCCAGUUGAAGGAGAGGGCAUCUCAAUGCGGAGGCUAUGGAGUGCGGGGGCAGAGUCGAAGGCAGCAGCAGCAUGGAGGAAGAGGGCAGCAACAGCAUGG
RNAcentral lists this long non-coding RNA (963 nucleotides) under Triticum aestivum (bread wheat). Its description in RNAcentral is "long non-coding RNA (TAES_LNC020618)". The record is from RNAcentral. Lineage: Eukaryota; Viridiplantae; Streptophyta; Magnoliopsida; Poales; Poaceae.